RNAcentral lists this ribosomal RNA (123 nucleotides) under Spirodela intermedia. Lineage: Eukaryota; Viridiplantae; Streptophyta; Magnoliopsida; Alismatales; Araceae. The record is from RNAcentral.
CCCCCCUUAGUGGGAGAGUUACCACCGGAUCCCAUAAGAACUCCGGAGUUAAGCGUGCUCGGGUGGGAGUAGUCCCCAGAUGGGUGGACCUCCCUAGGAAGUCCCCGGGUACCGCUGCAUGAU